Molecule: long non-coding RNA, 2113 nt
Organism: Neofelis nebulosa (Clouded leopard)
Lineage: Eukaryota; Metazoa; Chordata; Mammalia; Carnivora; Felidae
Exons: 2
Source: RefSeq, a predicted model, not a curated record
UAAAAGUGGUAUUGUAGGGAAUGUAGAGAACCACAGGAUAGAAAAGGAUGCACCUGUCUCGAAACAUCAAUGAUCCUUAAUAGUCACUUAAAACAUUGUGUUUAUAAUGAAAACCAAACAUCAAUAUACCAUGGUGUAGAAUGUUAAUUACAAAAAUGGAGAUUUCACAGAAAUUUUGAGCCUGCACUUGGAUACCACUGCAAAGCCCUUGGCUGGUUCACUUUGUGUUUUCUGUCAUUGGAACACUUAAGGUUAAUAGUCAGAGAAGGCCAGCUCUACACACUGUGUCGGUUACUGCAACUUUGGGACAAUGAUAAACAUAAUAAAUGUGAAUGCAUAUGACCAAGCCCUUUCCUAAAUUAGUAAAGACAGUGGUCAUGAGGCAGAAGUACUUACAAGUUACAACUGCAAGAUUAAUUGGAAUCUUCAGCCACCUUUGUGUCCUUCACUUUUGUUACAGUAAAAGAGUUGCAGGCAUCUCCUCCAUCUGUGCUCUGGCUCCUAUUCUCAUCCACCACUCUGCAGGCACCUUAUUCUAUUCAUUACCCUUCUUUGUCCCUGGCCAGGUUUCAACUCAGUAGCCCUGAGUUACAACUCUAGUUACAACUGUAAUUAUAGUUGUCUCUCUUCUCCUGCUCAAUCUAUUGCCUCAGCUUUACUAUCACCUCUCCACUCAAGGCACACCACUCUGGUAAAGGGGCCUCUAUUAACACAGUCAGUGAAUAUAUAUAUUUUUCCAGGACUUAUUUUUAUUUCUUUACAUGUGGUAAUAUUCACCACUCCUUUUUGAAAUGUUUUCCUCUCUUGCCUUCUGUGACACGGGUCUCCCUUGGGUUCUCUCCUGUCUUUCUCUGGCUACUCUUCCUUUUCACCCCAUAUGUUCGUCUUUCCCAGUUUUACCUUCAGCUUGCUCUUCCCUCUGUGCCAGUUAGACCAGUCUCAGAGAUCAUUUACCAUCACAAGGUGGUGACUUCCAGGUUUAACUCUUCUCUCUCCUGAGCUUCAGACCUGUUUUGAACAUUUCCAUCUGAAUACUCCAUAAGCAACUAGAACCUAGUAUUUGUCUAACUAAACUCAUUCCAUUCGUCUCCCUGGCCCUUCCUUAAACCUAUUCUUCUUCCUGUACUUCUUAUCUCAUUAUCAUCUCAAGAUAUUUAAGUGGCAGGUAUUCUUAGUUUUUCUUAUUUACCUAUUCGUAUCAAUUCUACCCCAUUAAUCCCUUUCUCUCCAGCUACUGUCAUGACCUUAGUCCAGGCCUUCAUAAUUUUCACGUCAGGGUUAUAGAACCAAACUUUUAAGUGGUCUCUGAGACCUGCCUCUAGUUUUGUUGCUCUUUAAGCCAUUAUUGAUACUGCCACCAGCAAUCCCCUAAAUGGUAAGCUGCUCAUGUCAUUCUCCUACUUAAAAAACUCUAAAAGCUUCCAACGGCCUUUGGGUUAAAACACAGGGCAUAUAAAGCCUUGUCUGCUCUGACCUCCUCCUGCCUCUCAAGCUUCCACUCUUGUCCUCUUUUCUCCACAACUCAAUAUCCCAGCCAUUCACAACUACAUGCAGCUGCUCGAGGUCAUGCUCUUUCCCCCCACUAGACCCUCAUAUACUGCUUCUUCUACCAGGCAAGCCUAUGAUGACUUGCUCCCCUUCCCUGGUUUGGUGCCUCCACACUAUCCUGAGUAUACAUCUAUUGCAGCACCUGUUACACUGAAUGGCUCAUCUAUCUUGCUUCUCGACUACAUUGAAAAUCUCACAGGUGUAAGAUUUGUGUUUUAUCAAAGAACCUGUUACAGAAGCUGGGAUUAGCAGACACUUAACACUUGUUGAACAAAUGAUUCCAUAGAUCAAGAGCAGAGAGGAAUCUUUUCAUAAUGGAAUAAAUUGUGGUUUAUAUACACAAUGGAAUACUACGUGGCAAUGAGAAAGAAUGAAAUAUGGCCUUUUGUAGCAACGUGGAUGGAACUGGAGAGUGUGAUGCUAAGUGAAAUAAGCCAUACAGAGAAAGACAGAUACCAUAUGGUUUCACUCUUAUGUGGAUCCUGAGAAACUUAACAGAAACCCAUGGGGGAGGGGAAGGAAAAAAAAAAAAAAGAGGUUAGAGUGGGAGAGAGCCAAAGCAUAA